This is a long non-coding RNA of Piliocolobus tephrosceles (Ugandan red Colobus), 4112 nucleotides long. RefSeq lists it as uncharacterized. NCBI's taxonomy places the organism in Eukaryota, Metazoa, Chordata, Mammalia, Primates, Cercopithecidae. The transcript is spliced from 6 exons. The record is from RefSeq and is a predicted model, not a curated record.
UAUCCAGCUUAACAGGAAACAACCAGACUUUCAUAUCUGCUUCUGCAUUCAAUUUGUUGUAUAAUACAUGUCAUGCCAACCCUGGAAACUCCACUGUCCUCUGAUAGGAGAACAAAGGCGAAACGGGCAAAUAACGUAUCAUUAUUAGUAUAAAAAUUGCUUCGGCUUUGCAAAGCCCCUGAAAGGGUCUUAGGGACAUCCAGGCAUCCUGGGAUCAUACUUUGAGAACGAUGGCACUACACUUUACUGCCUCUGAGUACACAGGGAGAAUGUCUUGGUUGAAUUUUAAGUGUUCCUUAAGAAACAGUGUUUCUUCGAGUAAAUCCCAGCCUGCUGUGGUAGAAGGAGCAGAGGCUGAGUAGCCAGAGACUGGGUUGCAACCCUAGUUCUGUGCGUGGGAGCUCUUGACCUUAAGUUCUCUCCAUCUCAGGUUCCUUAUCUUUAAAAUGAGGCUCAUUACCAAUCCCUUCCAGGGUCAUCACAGGCUUUUCAAAAAACAUGUGGAUAAGGUGCCUAACAGGUGCUGACACAAGAGGAUGUCUGACCAAGUGUAGCUUUUAUUUCAGAUAGAUUAAGGACAGCCAGGGAGGAAGGAGAGGGACCACGACCAGCAAAAAGGGAAGGAGAAAAGAGCUACCAAGGAUAGAACCACAAACGCUCAGCUGGAAGCCUUUCAAGCCAGGUGUUUAGAGACUCGGAUGUUUGGACUUUUAGGAAUUUAUUGGGGUGCAUAUACUGUAGAUAAUGUCAGACCUCCAUAAGACUUGGAGGACCAUCUGAUAAUCAAACACAUUUAUACUUCUAGAGAGGGAUAUAUUUCACUCAUCCCACGGCCUAGAAAUAGCCUUCUGUCUGGCCAGGUUUUAAUGCCAAAAGAUUUACAAAAAAUAUUUCAGUGUUCAGAACUCUGGGAUUUGGGACUGUAGAUGAGGGAUUGUGGACCUUAUUGAGCUUCUGUGCCAGCACCAAGCAAGGGAUUGUGCCCAUGCCCUUUCAUUUCAUCCUUUCAACUCCAUGAGCAAGAAGCAGACAUCUAAGGAUCUGGAGAGAUCUUUGCCUAGUAUUUGCCUUGCAAUCAACUUUAGAGGACCCCAGGGUUGGAGCAGUGGCCUCUGGCUUUCUGAUUAUGGCUGUUGCCUGCAAUUUAAAGUCCUAAUAUUCAUUUUGUUUGAAGAGGGAUGGAGGAGGAGUUAGACUCGUGGAGAGGUGUGUGUGUGUGUGUGUGUGUGUGUGUGUGUGUGUGUUUCAAGAUGAACCCAAUAGCAUCAACAAAUAUCUUAAUGAGGGUACAGAAAGUUUAUAUUUAACUUGUUGAAAAUCCACCUAGUCAUGAACCUAAUUUCCUGAAGAAUAAAUGUAAGGUGAGAUGAUACGUUUUGGAUACCAAUAAGAUCCAUUACCUACUACGUUUAUAGGGAUAGAAAUUGAACAAAUGGAAACAUUUCAAAAUCUGCCAAAAAGAGCCCCAACUGAUUGUUUUCAUGUUUAUAAUCACAGAGGAACAAGCCCUAAAGUUGCCUGAAGAUAAGUCCUGGCUAUGAAUUAAUGUUGAACAACAUGAAAACAUUACAGGUACUUGGAAACAAACUUCUGAGGAACCCAUCAGAAUUUCAAAUUAUGCAAGUAUUAUGACAAUACUUGAGAAUUUCAAAAUUAUUUCAACUAUCAAUUUCUGUGGGAUUUUAUAAUAAUUUGCAGCUUCAAUGACAAAAUAAUUAAAAAUGAUGUUUUCUAAAUCUACGUACACAAUUAUUCUGACUUUAUAGGAAAUAAAUGACAUUUAUUUGGACAUCUAUACAUGUCACACACAUUAAUACGUAUUUUGUGGAUUCCAACUUAAAUACUUACAUAUUUCAAAAUUGUAACCUCUUUAAGUUUGUCACUGUCACAAACUUGGCUUCAUGGUACUUCAAAUGUCCUCUCCCCAGUCAAAAAGCAGAAAAUGUUGUUUGUUAAAAGGCAGGGAAGUAGAAAAAAAACUUUUUAUAAUACCUGUAUCCAGUUAAGUAGAUAUGGCUGCUCUAGUGAGUUGAGACGACUUGAUUUUUCUCCUUUCCACUCCCCUCCCCUCCCCUUACCUUCCCUCCUUCCUUCCUUCUUUCCUUCCUUCCUUCCUUCCUUCCUUCCUUCUUUCCUUCCUUCCUUCCUUCCUUCCUUCCCUUCUACCUUCCUUCCUUUAUUCUUUCCUUCCUCUUUCUUGUUAUUUUACCCUUCAAAAGUGGGUUUUAAAGUUUCCAUAUACAAUAAAUCACCGCUACUUUAUUGCCGUUAUCAUCUAGACUUCCUUCAGGAACCACAAUUACAAUUGCAACAAUUAGUUGAACACAGGGCUUUUCCCAGGAUUCCUGGAAACUAGGGUGUGACAGUAAAAAUGGGCUCGUGGACGCCUAUCUGACGCGCUUACUGUGGACGUGAACUCACUGCACGUGCUGGUAGUGGAUGUGGUGGUGUGCAGCCCCCACCUCCCCUCCAGGACUCAGGCACUCAUUCGCCCAGCUGCCAGGAGUGAGUUGUUUUUUGUCUCACAGGUGAGACACUUUUGUUGUCUCACAGGUGAGUCUGUCUUUGGGAAUCCCUCCCUUAGCAGAAGAGAGCUGCCCUGCCCAAGGCCCUACCCCCUCUGCAGUUGGGGUUUGGGGGGCAGCACGCAUCCUGUGGCUGGCUGGCCCCUUGCCUUGUCUAGACAACUCUGACAGCAGUCCAUGGGAAUUGCUGAAGGCCUUUAUUGCAACCGAGUCAUAAUUUAAUUUCUCCCUCUAUGGAAUCCUUUUUCUCUUACUUCCUUAUAGGUAUUGAUCCUAAAAGCACUCCCCAGUGAAAGUCCUGCAUGUAAAUCUCCACCUCAGACCCUGUUUCUCAGAAAUGCAGUGAUCAACUAUAUGGAGGAGAUAUGUGAGAAAUGCCUUAGCAGACAAUGAAGAAAGAGAUCAAAAGGCUCAGAGAAGCAGGAAUGCUACGGUGGAUAUGCAGUCAGCUCUCUGCAUCUGUGGGUUCAACCAACCUCGGACUGAAAAUAUUCAGUAUUUGGGAAAAAAGUGUCAUCCCAUACUGAACAUAAAUGAUAUUUUGAUCUUGGGGUUGAGGGUCAUAAUUUCCUCUUUAAAAUGGACAUUAAAAUUCAGCACGCAUUUGGAGUACAAGGAAGGGUGAUGAUCACAGGUCUUCAGGUAGCUGUGUAAGAAGCAACAAGGAAAACAAAGGGUCCUGGUAAUUGCAAACAACUGAUGAGUCAAACCUGAGCAUUCAGCAUCGGGAGCGCUGUCACUAAACAUGUAGCCUCAUUCAGCAACACAUCCUUAUCAAGCACUUGCAGGUACUCCGCUGAAUGUUAGAAAUGCAUUGAUGGUGGAGACAUAGCACCGGCUCACAGGGACCUUCCAGCCUAGGCCGCAGGAUUGGACGUGUGCACUUUGGUAGAUUUAUUUUUAGAAAUUGGCUUAUGCAAGUGUGGAGCUGGCAAGUCUAACAACCACAGGGCAGGUCAGCAGGCUGGAGACCCAGGGAAGAGGUGAUGCUGCAGUCUCUAGUCUGAAGCCUGUGCAGAGGCGGAAUUUCCUCUUUCUCGGAGCAUCUCAGGCAUUUUCUCCUAAGUCCUUCAACUGACUGGAUGAGGCCACCCCCAUUAGGGAGGGUACAUUAGCUUUCCUUAAAGUCUACUGAUGCAAAUGUUUAUCUCAUCUACACACUGCCUUCACGGCAACAACUAGACUGAUAUUUGACCAUGCAUCUGGGCACCAUAGCCCAGACAAACUGGUACAUAAAAAAUUACCACAGAUGGGGAGAGGCUUCAUGGGGGAAAGCUGGUUAGGAGACAUAAAAAUACUCAAAGCCUGAGAACAGGUCUUUAGCUGCUCCCAAAGUAUCCAAAUUGAUGGCCCAUCAGAAAGUGGAAGCCAUCCACCGGAAAGACCUUUUCCCCAGCAACAGGUACAUGAGUAUGUGCUGUGUGUUGGACAGGACUGAGCUCCCACCAGAGGAUCCAAGGAAUGGGAUUGAUUUGCUCCUGGCCUCACCAUCUCCCUUAAAAAUGCCAGCUUAUUUCUCUGCAUAUUUGCGUUAUUAUUUUUUUCAUUGUUCUCUGGAGAUUUAUGAUUUUCAACUGUUUUUUUUUU